RNAcentral lists this transfer RNA (89 nucleotides) under Candidatus Kaiserbacteria bacterium. RNAcentral describes it as "tRNA-Ser". It matches the Rfam family "tRNA". Rfam says of the family: Transfer RNA (tRNA) molecules are approximately 80 nucleotides in length. Lineage: Bacteria; Candidatus Kaiseribacteriota. The record is from RNAcentral. RNAcentral also lists the same sequence under 1 other name.
GGAAGCGUGCCAGAGUGGUUGAAUGGGGCGCUCUCGAAAAGCGUUGUAUCCUUCAUCGGGUACCGAGGGUUCGAAUCCCUCCGCUUCCG